UACGAAGGGUGCAAGCGUUAUUCGGAAUUACUGGGCGUAAAGAGCGUGUAGGCGGUCUGUUAAGUUAAUUGUUAAAGACCUUGGCUCAACCAGGGACAUGCGAUUAAAACUGGCGGACUAGAGGGCAAGAGAGAGAAGUAGAAUUCUCGGAGUAGCGGUAAAAUGCGUAGAUAUCAAGAGGAACACCUGAGGUGAAGACGGGUUGCUGGGCUGACACUGACGCUGAGGCGCGAAAGCCAGGGGAGCAAACGGG
This 253-nucleotide ribosomal RNA is filed under the name uncultured bacterium. RNAcentral's name for it is "partial 16S ribosomal RNA". It matches the Rfam family "Bacterial small subunit ribosomal RNA", at positions 524 to 776 of the family's 1533-position model. The record is from RNAcentral.